RNAcentral lists this unclassified non-coding RNA (357 nucleotides) under soil metagenome. RNAcentral's name for it is "partial contains 5.8S ribosomal RNA, internal transcribed spacer 2, and large subunit ribosomal RNA". The stretch from base 1 to 120 matches the Rfam family "5.8S ribosomal RNA", at positions 35 to 154 of the family's 154-position model. The record is from RNAcentral.
GAUGAAGAACGCAGCGAAAUGCGAUAAGUAAUGUGAAUUGCAGAAUUCAGUGAAUCAUCGAAUCUUUGAACGCACAUUGCGCCCGUCAGUAUUCUGGCGGGCAUGCCUGUUCGAGCGUCAUUACGCCCCUCAAGUCCCCUGUGGACUUGGUGUUGGGGAUCGGCGAGGCUGGUUUUCCAGCACAGCCGUCCCUUAAAUUAAUUGGCGGUCUCGCCGUGGCCCUCCUCUGCGCAGUAGUAAAACACUCGCAACAGGAGCCCGGCGCGGUCCACUGCCGUAAAACCCCCCAACUUUUUAUAGUUGACCUCGAAUCAGGUAGGACUACCCGCUGAACUUAAGCAUAUCAAAAGCGGAGGA